RNAcentral lists this ribosomal RNA (497 nucleotides) under uncultured bacterium. RNAcentral describes it as "partial 16S ribosomal RNA". It matches the Rfam family "Bacterial small subunit ribosomal RNA", at positions 28 to 507 of the family's 1533-position model. The record is from RNAcentral.
GAUGAACGCUGGCGGCGUGCCUAAUACAUGCAAGUCGAGCGAACAGACGAGGAGCUUGCUUCUCUGACGUUAGCGGCGGACGGGUGAGUAACACGUGGAUAACCUACCUAUAAGACUGGGAUAACUUCGGGAAACCGGAGCUAAUACCGGAUAAUAUAUUGAACCGCAUGGUUCAAUAGUGAAAGACGGUUUUGCUGUCACUUAUAGAUGGAUCCGCGCCGCAUUAGCUAGUUGGUAAGGUGACGGCUUACCAAGGCAACGAUGCGUAGCCGACCUGAGAGGGUGAUCGGCCACACUGGAACUGAGACACGGUCCAGACUCCUACGGGAGGCAGCAGUAGGGAAUCUUCCGCAAUGGGCGAAAGCCUGACGGAGCAACGCCGCGUGAGUGAUGAAGGUCUUCGGAUCGUAAAACUCUGUUAUUAGGGAAGAACAAAUGUGUAAGUAACUAUGCACGUCUUGACGGUACCUAAUCAGAAAGCCACGGCUAACUACGUG